CAAGGGGUAAUUUAGGCCCAGAAUUCUGGCUUUGGGUGCCAGCGGCGGAAGUUAAAAUCUUUCCUCCUUGA
Molecule: transfer RNA, 71 nt
Filed under: Calotriton asper (Pyrenean brook newt)
Lineage: Eukaryota; Metazoa; Chordata; Amphibia; Caudata; Salamandridae
Description: tRNA-Pro
Rfam family: tRNA
About the family: Transfer RNA (tRNA) molecules are approximately 80 nucleotides in length. Their secondary structure includes four short double-helical elements and three loops (D, anti-codon, and T loops). Further hydrogen bonds mediate the characteristic L-shaped molecular structure. tRNAs have two regions of fundamental functional importance: the anti-codon, which is responsible for specific mRNA codon recognition, and the 3' end, to which the tRNAs corresponding amino acid is attached (by aminoacyl-tRNA synthetases). tRNAs cope with the degeneracy of the genetic code in two manners: having more than one tRNA (with a specific anti-codon) for a particular amino acid; and 'wobble' base-pairing, i.e. permitting non-standard base-pairing at the 3rd anti-codon position.
Source: RNAcentral